Lontra canadensis (Northern American river otter) is the source of this 616-nucleotide long non-coding RNA. RefSeq lists it as uncharacterized. The transcript is spliced from 4 exons. The record is from RefSeq and is a predicted model, not a curated record. Lineage: Eukaryota; Metazoa; Chordata; Mammalia; Carnivora; Mustelidae.
GCUCCGGGUCGCCCCGAAGCCGCUGGGCUGUGCUGGAGCCCACCUGGCCUGACCGCUCGCUUGGUCCCGUCCCCCGGCCGUGCUCAGGCCUCACCACGAGCUGAGCUGGCGCUAGCAAGUCCUGUUUUGACCACACCCUGAAGACUGGAGAAGUGUUCUCCACCCUAAGAGUUUCUCUGCAGAAGUUAGUGUCCUUCAAGAUGCCGAAUCAAACUUCCGCUCCAAAUGUCGUGUCGACUGUCUGCAAAGCACGGAAUAUGAUGCCAGUGGUGCAGCAGCCAUAGUUCGGUCAUGAAGCAACAAACGGAACAGAGGCCUGCAUUCCAAGGAUGACAGAGCAGAACAAUUUAAAGAGGCUAGAUCCUUUAUGGCAUCAUUGUGCGACCAUGUUUCUUCACCGCACUGCUCCAGUGUCCUCACAACAGCGAGAUUCCCCCAGAAUGAGAGGUCCAAGAGACAAAGGCAGAAGCAGGAAUGCCUUUCAUCUCGGAAGUCACACCUUAUCACCUCCAUGGUGCUCUGUUGGUCACAGAAACCAGCCCUAAGUCAGCGUGGGAGGAGAGUACGUACAAGCAUGAAUACCAGGAGAGAGAGAGCAUAAGUAGGGAGAGCAGCA